RNAcentral lists this long non-coding RNA (387 nucleotides) under Citrus x clementina. Its description in RNAcentral is "Citrus clementina (C. clementina) long non-coding RNA (CCLE_LNC004408)". Lineage: Eukaryota; Viridiplantae; Streptophyta; Magnoliopsida; Sapindales; Rutaceae. The record is from RNAcentral.
UGUUUGUGACGGCCUAAUUCACCUGGUGCUAAAGCUGGGCUUGUUCUGCCGCUGCUCACCAAGCGAUUUGGAAGUGGUUUGCGUCAAAAAGUAUUUGAUGGGUCACAUGUGCAUAAAGUUAUAAGCGACCAUGUCAAAUCUAGGCACUGUUUGGAGUUGAUGAGGGGAUUUCAUGUUCAAUGGAUCGACUAUUUAUGAAAAGCACUUUUAAUACUCAAUAGUCAUGUAUAGUAUUGCUUUUGGAAAUGCAAUUAUGUCGAUUGCGUAAACGGCUUUACAAAUUGAUAGGCUGCUGCAGAUGUACGGUGUACAUAAUGCUCGUUGUUGAUGAAUAUGCAAAACUCUUUAGUUAGUGGAGGCCAAACACAUCAUAUCGAUGAGUGAUGA